Molecule: long non-coding RNA, 340 nt
Organism: Pseudophryne corroboree (corroboree frog)
Lineage: Eukaryota; Metazoa; Chordata; Amphibia; Anura; Myobatrachidae
Exons: 3
Source: RefSeq, a predicted model, not a curated record
UUGUUUCAGCAAAGCAUUUAAGAAACUAGAUGAUGAUCAAAAAUCAACUGUGUAUGGAAAGAUAAAAAGCUACAAUAAAAAUGUGAAGACUGAAACAGGAUCUGCUUGUGGGACAGACUCCGGAACCAGCAGUGCCUGGGUCGAGUCAUACUAUGGAGCUUUCAUUCAAGAGGCUUCACUGGCUGACCUCAAGGAUGCAAACAGCAACUUCAACGUGGAUGAAGCACUGCCGGCCUUGACUGGUACCCAGGUUGCUGACUAUGUUCUUGGUAAUGGAGGCCUGAAUGAUGAGACCAUCAUUAACAUCGUGUUUGCCAGCAUAAACACCACUGAGAAAGUG